RNAcentral lists this ribosomal RNA (401 nucleotides) under uncultured bacterium. RNAcentral describes it as "bacterial SSU rRNA". It matches the Rfam family "Bacterial small subunit ribosomal RNA", at positions 362 to 757 of the family's 1533-position model. The record is from RNAcentral.
UAUUGGACAAUGGGCGAAAGCCUGAUCCAGCAAUACCGCGUGUGUGAAGAAGGCCUUAGGGUUGUAAAGCACUUUCAAUUGGGAAGAAAACCUGCCGGUCAAUACCCGGUAGCUUGACAUUACCUUUAGAAGAAGCACCGGCUAACUCCGUGCCAGCAGCCGCGGUAAUACGGAGGGUGCGAGCGUUAAUCGGAAUUACUGGGCGUAAAGCGUGCGUAGGCGGUUCGUUAAGUCAGAUGUGAAAGCCCUGGGCUCAACCUGGGAACUGCAUUUGAAACUGGCGGACUAGAGUUUAGUAGAGGGGAGUGGAAUUUCAGGUGUAGCGGUGAAAUGCGUAGAUAUCUGAAGGAACACCAGUGGCGAAGGCGACUCCCUGGACUAGAACUGACGCUGAGGACGGA